This 444-nucleotide ribosomal RNA is filed under the name uncultured bacterium. RNAcentral's name for it is "partial 16S ribosomal RNA". It matches the Rfam family "Bacterial small subunit ribosomal RNA", at positions 338 to 795 of the family's 1533-position model. The record is from RNAcentral.
CCUACGGGAGGCAGCAGUGGGGAAUAUUGCGCAAUGGAGGAAACUCUGAUCCAGCAAUGCCGCGUGAAUGAAGAAGGUCUUCGGAUUGUAAAGUUCUUUAGUCAGGGAAGAAAAAAAUGACGGUACCUGAAGAAUAAGCUCCGGCUAACUACGUGCCAGCAACCGCCGUAAUACGUAGGGAGCAAGCGUGGUUCGGAAUGACUGGGGGGAAAGGGUGCGUAGGUGGGUAGACAAGUUAGAAGGGAAAUACCCAGGGCUUAACUCGGGUGCUGCUUCUAAAACUGUAAGACUUGAGUGCAGUAGAGGUUAGUGGAAUUCCUAGUGUAGCGGUGGAAUGCGUAGAUAUUAGGAGGAACACCAGAGGCGAAGGCGGCUAACUGGACUGCAACUGACGCUGAGGCACGAAAGUGUGGGGAGCAAACAGGAUUAGAUACCCUAGUAGUC